GCUUAACACAUGCAAGUCGAGGGGCAGCAUGGUCUUAGCUUGCUAAGGCCGAUGGCGACCGGCGCACGGGUGAGUAACACGUAUCCAACCUGCCGUCUACUCUUGGACAGCCUUCUGAAAGGAAGAUUAAUACAAGAUGGCAUCAUGAGUCCGCAUGUUCACAUGAUUAAAGGUAUUCCGGUAGACGAUGGGGAUGCGUUCCAUUAGAUAGUAGGCGGGGUAACGGCCCACCUAGUCUUCGAUGGAUAGGGGUUCUGAGAGGAAGGUCCCCCACAUUGGAACUGAGACACGGUCCAAACUCCUACGGGAGGCAGCAGUGAGGAAUAUUGGUCAAUGGGCGAGAGCCUGAACCAGCCAAGUAGCGUGAAGGAUGACUGCCCUAUGGGUUGUAAACUUCUUUUAUAAAGGAAUAAAGUCGGGUAUGGAUACCCGUUUGCAUGUACUUUAUGAAUAAGGAUCGGCUAACUCCGUGCCAGCAGCCGCGGUAAUACGGAGGAUCCGAGCGUUAUCCGGAUUUAUUGGGUUUAAAGGGAGCGUAGAUGGAUGUUUAAGUCAGUUGUGAAAGUUUGCGGCUCAACCGUAAAAUUGCAGUUGACACUGGAUAUCUUGAGUGCAGUUGAGGCAGGCGGAAUUCGUGGUGUAGCGGUGAAAUGCUUAGAUAUCACGAAGAACUCCGAUUGCGAAGGCAGCCUGCUAAGCUGCAACUGACAUUGAGGCUCGAAAGUGUGGGUAUCAAACAGGAUUAGAUACCCUGGUAGUCCACACGGUAAACGAUGAAUACUCGCUGUUUGCGAUAUACUGCAAGCGGCCAAGCGAAAGCGUUAAGUAUUCCACCUGGGGAGUACGCCGGCAACGGUGAAACUCAAAGGAAUUGACGGGGGCCCGCACAAGCGGAGGAACAUGUGGUUUAAUUCGAUGAUACGCGAGGAACCUUACCCGGGCUUAAAUUGCAGAUGAAUUACGGUGAAAGCCGUAAGCCGCAAGGCAUCUGUGAAGGUGCUGCAUGGUUGUCGUCAGCUCGUGCCGUGAGGUGUCGGCUUAAGUGCCAUAACGAGCGCAACCCUUGUUGUCAGUUACUAACAGGUUCCGCUGAGGACUCUGACAAGACUGCCAUCGUAAGAUGUGAGGAAGGUGGGGAUGACGUCAAAUCAGCACGGCCCUUACGUCCGGGGCUACACACGUGUUACAAUGGGGGGUACAGAGGGCCGCUACCACGCGAGUGGAUGCCAAUCCCCAAAACCUCUCUCAGUUCGGACUGGAGUCUGCAACCCGACUCCACGAAGCUGGAUUCGCUAGUAAUCGCGCAUCAGCCACGGCGCGGUGAAUACGUUCCCGGGCCUUGUACACACCGCCCGUCAAGCCAUGGGAGCCGGGGGUACCUGAAGUGCGUAACCGCGAGGAGCGCCCUAGGGUAAAACUGGUGACUGGGGCUAA
Molecule: ribosomal RNA, 1434 nt
Filed under: uncultured organism
Description: 16S ribosomal RNA
Rfam family: Bacterial small subunit ribosomal RNA
Source: RNAcentral